Molecule: ribosomal RNA, 773 nt
Filed under: uncultured Actinomyces sp.
Lineage: Bacteria; Bacillati; Actinomycetota; Actinomycetes; Actinomycetales; Actinomycetaceae
Description: bacterial SSU rRNA
Rfam family: Bacterial small subunit ribosomal RNA
Source: RNAcentral
GACGAACGCUGGCGGCGUGCUUUACACAUGCAAGUCGAACGGGAUCCAUCUUGAUUCUUUUUGUUUCUUGGUGGUGAGAGUGGCGAACGGGUGAGUAACACGUGAGUAACCUGCCCUUUUCUUUUGGAUAACCGCAUGAAAGUGUGGCUAAUACGGGAUAUUCUGCUUCCUUCGCAUGGGGGUGGUGGGAAAGGCUUCAAUGUUUUUGUUGUUGUGGAUUGGGAUGGGCUCGCGGCUUAUCAGCUUGUUGGUGGGGUGAUGGCUUACCAAGGCUUUGACGGGUAGCCGGCCUGAGAGGGUGGGCGGUCACAUUGGGACUGAGAUACGGCCCAGACUCCUACGGGAGGCAGCAGUGGGGGAUUUUGCACAAUGGACGCAAGUCUGAUGCAGUGACGCCGCGUGAGGGAUGACGGCCUUCGGGUUGUAAACCUUUUUCGCUGGGUUGAAAGGCCGCUUUUGUGGUGGUUGAUUGAUACUGGUAAAGAAGUACCGGCUAACUACGUGCCAGCAGCCGCGGUAAUACGUAGGGUACUAGCGUUGUCCGGUUUUAUUGGGCGUAAAGGGCUUGUAGGUGGUUUGUCGCGUCUGUCGUGAAAUCCCAUGGCUUAACUGUGGGCUUGCGGUGGGUACGGGCAGGCUUGAGUGCGGUAGGGGAGACUGGAAUUCCUGGUGUAGCGGUGGAAUGCGCAGAUAUCAGGAGGAACACCGGUGGCGAAGGCGGGUCUCUGGGCCGUUACUGACGCUGAGGAGCGAAAGCGUGGGGAGCGAACAGG